GGAGUAGCUCGGGGCUGUGUGCGGACAGGGAGUAGCUCGGGGUACAGGGAGGUGUAGCUAGGGGCUGUGUGCGGACAGAGGGAUAGCUCGGGGCUGUGUGUGGAUAGUGGGGUGGCUCAGGGUGCAGGGAGGUGUAGCUUGGGGCUGUGUGCAGACAGGGAUAGCUCGGGGCUGUCUGCGGAUAGGGGGAUAGCUCAGGGUGCAGGGAGGGUGUAGCUAGCGGCUGUGUGCCAGAAGGGCUUCCCCUGUGAUAGCUGCUCCCCGUGGGCUCUGCCAGCCACGGAGCCAGGUCCUCCACCCCAGACAGCUCUUACCAGCUGCGUGAGCAAAGGGGGCUGGGAACUGAGGAGAAGCUUCAGCCUCUUGCAGCAGCAGGAGACAAGGCAACGCCUUGGCUGCCUGUGCAAUGGCACCAGCCAGAGCAGCAGCUGCCACCACCAACCUGUGUCCCCUGCUGCACCCCCCCAACUCUACCCAUGGGCUCAGGGCUUCUGCCCCAUGGGGAGUACCAGGGCUUGGGGCUCUAGCAUUCAGCCCUGCUGCUCCCAGCUUCAGCCCCGCGCAGGACAGGGGCUGAGACAGGGAUCGGGGCUUCAACCCAGUGGCAGG
Molecule: long non-coding RNA, 609 nt
Organism: Gopherus flavomarginatus (Mexican gopher tortoise)
Lineage: Eukaryota; Metazoa; Chordata; Testudines; Testudinidae
Exons: 4
Source: RefSeq, a predicted model, not a curated record